This 395-nucleotide ribosomal RNA is filed under the name uncultured bacterium. RNAcentral's name for it is "partial 16S ribosomal RNA". It matches the Rfam family "Bacterial small subunit ribosomal RNA", at positions 523 to 917 of the family's 1533-position model. The record is from RNAcentral.
AUACGUAGGGGGCAAGCGUUAUCCGGAUUUACUGGGUGUAAAGGGAGCGCAGACGGUGAAGCAAGUCUGAAGUGAAAGCCCGCGGCUUAACUGCGGGACUGCUUUGGAAACUGUCUCACUAGAGGGCUGGAGAGGUAAGCGGAAUUCCCAGUGUAGCGGUGAAAUGCGUAGAUAUUGGGAAGAACACCGGUGGCGAAGGCGGCUUACUGGACAGUAACUGACGUUCAUGCUCGAAGGCGUGGGGAGCAAACAGGAUUAGAUACCCUGGUAGUCCACGCGGUAAACGAUGAAUACUAGGUGUUGGCAUCCGAAGGAUGUCGGUGCCGUCGCUAACGCAAUAAGUAUUCCACCUGGGGAGUACGUUCGCAAGAAUGAAACUUAAAUGAAUUGGCGGG